Molecule: unclassified non-coding RNA, 158 nt
Filed under: uncultured fungus
Lineage: Eukaryota; Fungi
Description: sequence contains ITS1, 5.8S rRNA gene
Source: RNAcentral
GAGAGAGUUGGUGGGAGUAGAGGUGGUUGGUGACAGCCGGCCAAGUCGACCCACAACAUAUGUGCUCCGGGAGUGUGGGCGGUAGUAGUACUGUGCAUGUGACCGGGAGGCAUAGACGCUGUAAUUGUAUUUUAUUGUAUAUUAGACAGAAAACAAGA